RNAcentral lists this long non-coding RNA (301 nucleotides) under Elaeis guineensis (African oil palm). Its description in RNAcentral is "long non-coding RNA (EGUI_LNC067058)". The record is from RNAcentral. Lineage: Eukaryota; Viridiplantae; Streptophyta; Magnoliopsida; Arecales; Arecaceae.
GAUCAGAAGUCUUACUCCAGAAAAUCAGCACAGUAUACUAGUACUGCGCUGAUCCUUCUUCGAUGGUUGAUCAAGUGCCUCCUUCUUCUUGAUUUGGACUCUUCCAAAUAUGAGAAGUAGGAGGAGGAGUUUUAGAUCUGAGAUGCUCUCAGAAAACUCAAGAUGGAGGAAGAAAAGAGAUGAACACAACAACCCUAGAAGAAGACUCUCUUCUUCUUCUUUUUGCUCUCUCUAGACACCCUAUCUUGUGUCUAUUAUAUCUCCAUGCCCCAACCUUCUUUCUCUCUAAUUUUUGGAUGCC